UACGAAGGGUGCAAACGUUGCUCGGAAUUAUUGGGCGUAAAGCGCACGUAGGCGGCUUAGUAAGUUGGAUGUGAAAUCCCUCGGCUUAACCAAGGAAGUGCAUCCAAAACUACUGAGCUUGAGUACUAAAGAGGAUCGCGGAAUUCCCGGUGUAGAGGUGAAAUUCGUAGAUAUCGGGAGGAACACCAGUGGCGAAGGCGGUUGCCUGGGGCUUUGCUGACGCUGAUGCGCGAAAGCGUGGGGAGCGAUCCGG
This 253-nucleotide ribosomal RNA is filed under the name uncultured bacterium. Its description in RNAcentral is "partial 16S ribosomal RNA". It matches the Rfam family "Bacterial small subunit ribosomal RNA", at positions 524 to 776 of the family's 1533-position model. The record is from RNAcentral.